RNAcentral lists this small RNA (1397 nucleotides) under Pongo abelii (Sumatran orangutan). Its description in RNAcentral is "retained intron". The record is from RNAcentral. Lineage: Eukaryota; Metazoa; Chordata; Mammalia; Primates; Hominidae.
UUCCACGUGCGAAAGCCCCGGACUCGUGGAAUUGUGAACGCCGCGGACUCCGAAGCCGCACAAACCAGGGCUCGCCAUGAAGCCAGGUUUCAGUCCCCGUGGGGGUGGCUUUGGCGGCCGAGGGGGCUUUGGUGACCGUGGCGGUCGUGGAGGCCGAGGGGGCUUUGGCGGGGGCCGAGGUCGAGGCGGAGGCUUUAGAGGUCGUGGACGAGGAGGAGGUGGAGGCGGCGGCGGCGGCGGCGGUGGAGGAGGAGGAAGAGGUGGUGGAGGCUUCCAUUCUGGUGGCAACCGGGGUCGUGGUCGGGGAGGAAAAAGAGGAAACCAGUCGGGGAAGAAUGUGAUGGUGGAGCCGCAUCGGCAUGAGGGUGUCUUCAUUUGUCGAGGAAAGGAAGAUGCACUGGUCACCAAGAACCUGGUCCCUGGGGAAUCAGUUUAUGGAGAGAAGAGAGUCUCGAUUUCGGAAGGAGAUGACAAAAUUGAGUACCGAGCCUGGAACCCCUUCCGCUCCAAGCUGGCAGCAGCAAUCCUGGGUGGUGUGGACCAGAUCCACAUCAAACCGGGGGCUAAGGUUCUCUACCUCGGGGCUGCCUCGGGCACCACGGUCUCCCAUGUCUCUGACAUCGUUGGUCCGGUGAGUGAGUAGAUGGAGAGGCAGGAGGUAAAGGCUGCCUCCCCUCUGCCAGCUUGGAAUAUCAGGGUUUGACUGCUUGCCUGUGCUGUGUGACUUAGGGCCAGGCCCUUUUCUGUCACAGUGCCUGUGAGUAAAAGGAGUGGCUUAAACCAGAUAAUGUCACUCAACCUCACUCCUGGGUUCUUGGCCUCAAGGGAAGAGACGUGGGUGUGGGGUGACCAACCUUAGACAACUGGGAGUAUAGAUACCAGACUAUUUGAUUUGAUGGGCCUCUUUAAAAUUUUAUGCUGCUAAAACCUGCUCUUCUGGUUUCUUUAGAAAGAACCAGGAGAUCUCAUGGUUUCUGAGCCUGUAUAGGCUUCCCAUUUAGAGGGCCCCUGGCACCCACGUGUCCCACUCUGUUACCCUUUGUUACUUUACGUGUUUAUAAGCUGUUAAGUGUAGUGCCUUAAAACCUCAGGCUUUGGCCAGACGAGGUGGCUCAUGCCUUUAAUCCCAACACUUUGGGAGGCCGAGGCAGGUGGAUCACCUGAGGUCAGGAGUUUGAGACCAGCCUGACCAACAUGGUAAAACCCCGUCUCUACUAAAAAUACAAAAAUUAGCUGGGUGUGGUGGCGUGUGCCUGUAGUCCCACCUAUUCGGGAGGCUGACACAGGAGAAUUGCUUGAACCCAGGAGGCGGACGUUGCACUAAGCUGAGAUCGCACAGCUGCACUCCAGCCUGGGCAACAGAGCGAGACUCAAAAAAAAAAAAAACAAAAACCUCA